AAGCAACAGGACAAAAAAAGAAAAAAAAAAGACACAUUACAUAAAGGGGAAACGAUAAGAAUAUAGCAGACAUCUUAUCAGAAAUAGUGGAAACUGGAUAUUAAUGGAAUGGUACUUUGAAGUUCUGGGGGGAAAAAAUCAACGUAGUAUUCUACAUGUCCGCCAAAUGAGAUAUUUUCCGAUCAACAAAAGCUAAGGAAAUUUGUCACAAGGAGAUAUGCAUUACAAGAAAUGCUAAAGGAAGCCUCUUAAAGCUGAAGGAAAAUGAUACCAGAGGAAAAAUGGAAUGUCUUGAAAGCUGUGAACAUGUGGGUAAAGCUCACAUCAGCGCGACUGCUCUCCCACCUCUGCUUCUGGUUCUGCUAAAAACGAUUCAUCGUGGCCUUGAACCAGACCCUUCUCUCCAGGUAUCAGAUGCUCUACGACAUGAGGGAAUGGGGGACCAAUAAGUCUUCGAGACCUUCUUCACUCAUUGUCCAAGACAAUGGUAUCCCUCAGCAUCUGUCUGCACUAUGGUUAUGUCCUUUCUCUACAUCACAUCCCACCUCCU
Delphinapterus leucas (beluga whale) is the source of this 550-nucleotide non-coding RNA. The record is from RefSeq and is a predicted model, not a curated record. NCBI's taxonomy places the organism in Eukaryota, Metazoa, Chordata, Mammalia, Artiodactyla, Monodontidae.